AUGGCUGUCGUCAGCUCGUGUCGUGAGAUGUUGGGUUAAGUCCCGCAACGAGCGCAACCCUUGUCCUUAGUUGCCAUCAUUCAGUUGGGAACUCUAAGGAGACCGCCGGUGACAAACCGGAGGAAGGUGGGGAUGACGUCAAGUCAUCAUGGCCUUUAUGUCCAGGGCUACACACGUGCUACAAUGGUAGGUACAGAGGGAAGCCAACGCGCGAGCGGGAGCCAAUCCCAGAAAACCUAUCGUAGUCCGGAUCGGAGUCUGCAACUCGACUCCGUGAAGUCGGAAUCGCUAGUAAUCGCAGAUCAGCAUUGCUGCGGUGAAUACGUUCCCGGGUCUUGUACACACCGCCCGUCACGCCAUGGAAGUGGCGAGCGCCCGAAGUCCGUGUCGGAACCCGCAAGGGGCCAAGCGGCCGAAGGCGAGCGUCAUGACUGGGGCGAAGUCGUAACAAGGUAGCCGUAGGGGAACCUGCGGCUGGAUCACCUCCUUAACGGAGCUGCGAGUAAGGCAGACUUGCUGGGGCAACCCAGGUUACUUGCCGGAAAGCACUCACGUGUCGCUCGUCUCGUAUCAUCCCGAUCUCAAUCUCGAUUUCCAUAUACAAAGAGCCCGAACCACGGCCCGCUAUCGCGGGAAUGAUUCGGGCUCGAAAGAACAAGAGGGACUGCACCUUAGGUCCUUAAGCACCAAGCGACAGAGCGCUUAUAUCUCGAAAGUUUUUUGACAAUGGAAAGUAGUAGUGAUCGUGGGAUUUGAGUGGCUGGACCUGAUAAGAUCUGGCCACUGAGAAUCAACACUAGUGACACAAUUUCAUAGAAGCUCUGACCUAACGGUUGGGGCUCGAUUUGUCUCAAAGAGCUUGUCUAGCUCCGAGAGUCCAAAUGAUUGUAUCACUCGUUAGAUCGCGCGUGUUUCUGUUUGAACAAGUUAUUUGAUCAAGCGAAAGAAAGUAUGUGGGGGAUGCCUAGGUACACAGAGGCGAUGAAGGCCGUGGUAAGCUGCGAUAAGCCAGGGGGAGCUGCACACAAGCUAUGAGCCCUGGAUGGCCGAAUGGGGAAACCCGG
Molecule: small RNA, 1064 nt
Filed under: uncultured bacterium
Lineage: Bacteria
Description: bacterial SSU rRNA
Rfam family: Bacterial small subunit ribosomal RNA (bases 1-490)
Source: RNAcentral